This 505-nucleotide ribosomal RNA is filed under the name Bethylidae sp. RNAcentral describes it as "partial large subunit ribosomal RNA". The record is from RNAcentral. Lineage: Eukaryota; Metazoa; Arthropoda; Insecta; Hymenoptera; Bethylidae.
AGAACUUUGAAGAGAGAGUUCAAGAGUACGUGAAACCGUUCAGGGGUAAACCUGAGGAACCCGAAAGAUCGAAUGGGGAGAUUCAACGUCAGCGACGCUGGCCUCGCGAUGGCGAGUGAUGCCUCGGGGACUUCGGUAACCGCGGGCACGCAGCCGUUGUGCAAGUCCGGUGGCGUCGGCGUGCACUUCUCCCCUAGUAGGACGUCGCGACCCGUUGGGUGCCGGUCUAAGGGCCGGGUGGUAGACUGCCUCGUCGCUCCGGCGCAUCGAGGCAGACCCCCGGAUCCAGUCGCCGGCUGCCCGGCGGUACUCGCACGGUAUCGGGCCGCAAUUCGAACUGCGUCGGGCCCGUCGCAAGCGCGAUCAGUGUUUCACGGAGGUCGGACCUAGCGCCGUCCCCGUGCCUGGUCAGCUGUUGGUUGACGGUGUUCUCCGACUGGCCAUUGAACGUUUACGAUACCGGUCGGCGACGCUACUGCUUUGGGUAAUCUCAGGACCCGUCUUG